GACGAACGCUGGCGGCGUGCCUAACACAUGCAAGUCGAGCGGAGUCGAUCGACGGAAGCCUUCGGGCGGAAGAUGGUUGACUUAGCGGCGGAUGGGUGAGUAACGCGUGGGCAACCUGCCUCGAAGACCGGGAUAACAGCCCGAAAGGGCUGCUAAUACCGGAUGUGGUCAAGGAUCCGCAUGGAUUUUUGAUUAAAGGGGAAACCCGUUUCGAGAUGGGCCCGCGUCCUAUCAGCUAGUUGGUGAGGUAAAAACUCACCAAGGCGACGACGGGUAGCCGGCCUGAGAGGGUGACCGGCCACACUGGAACUGAGACACGGUCCAGACUCCUACGGGGGGCAGCAGUGGGGAAUCUUCCACAAUGGGCGAAAGCCUGAUGGAGCGACGCCGCGUGAGCGAAGAAGGCCUUCGGUUGUAAAGCUCUGUCUGGAGGGACGAAGGAAGUGACGGUACCUCCGGAGGAAGCCACGGCUAACUACGUG
RNAcentral lists this ribosomal RNA (482 nucleotides) under uncultured bacterium. Its description in RNAcentral is "bacterial SSU rRNA". It matches the Rfam family "Bacterial small subunit ribosomal RNA", at positions 28 to 507 of the family's 1533-position model. The record is from RNAcentral.